RNAcentral lists this ribosomal RNA (442 nucleotides) under uncultured bacterium. Its description in RNAcentral is "SSU rRNA". It matches the Rfam family "Bacterial small subunit ribosomal RNA", at positions 26 to 518 of the family's 1533-position model. The record is from RNAcentral.
AGAACGAACGCUGGCGGCACGCCUAACACAUGCAAGUCGAGCGCCCAGCAAUGGGAGCGGCGGACGGGUGAGGAACACGUGGGAACAUGCCUUUCGGUUCGGCACAACUGCGGGAAACUGCAGCUAAUUCCGGAUACGCCCUUACGGGGAAAGAUUUAUCGCCGAAAGAUUGGCCCGCGUCUGAUUAGCUAGUUGGUGAGGUAAUGGCUCACCAAGGCUUCGAUCAGUAGCUGGUUUGAGAGAACGACCAGCCACACUGGGACUGAGACACGGCCCAGACUCCUACGGGAGGCAGCAGUGGGGAAUCUUGGACAAUGGAGGAAACUCUGAUCCAGCGAUGCCGCGUGAGUGAUGAAGGCCUUCGGGUUGUAAACUCUUUCGACGGGGACGAUAAUGACGGUACCCGUAGAAGAAGCUCCGGCUAACUCGUGCCAGCAGCCGC